UACGUAGGGCGCAAGCGUUAUCCGGAAUUAUUGGGCGUAAAGAGCUCGUAGGCGGUUUGUCGCGUCUGCCGUGAAAGUCCGGGGCUCAACUCCGGAUCUGCGGUGGGUACGGGCAGACUAGAGUGAUGUAGGGGAGACUGGAAUUCCUGGUGUAGCGGUGAAAUGCGCAGAUAUCAGGAGGAACACCGAUGGCGAAGGCAGGUCUCUGGGCAUUACCUGACGCUGAGGAGCGAAAGUGUGGGGAGCGAACAGG
Molecule: ribosomal RNA, 253 nt
Filed under: uncultured bacterium
Lineage: Bacteria
Description: partial 16S ribosomal RNA
Rfam family: Bacterial small subunit ribosomal RNA
Source: RNAcentral